AUGUCAUUGGUUGAUACUUGUUCCUCAAUUUGAUGAUGAAUUCUACAUAAAUGAAACUGAGAAUGACCCAAGCCCAAUUAUAAUUAGUGAGAAAUACCUGAAUUUGUUAUCAUCUUAGUUUUUCAAUCUAUUGAAUUUGGGACUUGUUUUUAAGGCCCAUGGACCGCUCAAUGGGCUGGCUAAUCACUUAAUCAAUUGAUUGGUGUCAUUAACUCACCAUCUUUCUCUUUCUUUAAUUCUUGCCCCUCUUCUCUCUGCAAAACCAAUUAAUGCAAAAUAUCUCUUUAAUUUUCCCGCAAUUUUUCUGGAUUAUCAAUCAUAGUUAAUACCCCAGCAGCAGAACAAAACCCCCCAUUAAUGGAAAUUUUCCAGAAGGUACUUGGGUAGGUUUAAGCGCCAGGAUUACGAGGACGUGUUCAUUUCAUCGCCUAAGUCGAGCCUGAGGAAAAUAGGAACUUGUUUGGGGUGGACUUACAGCUGUUAUGGAUGGUAUAUAAGUUACAGUAUUAUUUCCUCACCUUGUUCUUCAUUUAUAAAUUGGUGUAAGGACCUGAUAUUGCUGGCUUUUUACAUUAUUAUUAUCACAAAGACCUACAUUGCAGAAAAGGAGAGGUUAGAUGAAUAUACCACUAGACUAAAUGCCUGACAUUGCUGUCAAGUAUACAGUGUACUUGAUUUUUAUUCCCUUGGACAUACAUGGACAUUUUCUAGA
Molecule: long non-coding RNA, 712 nt
Organism: Chenopodium quinoa (quinoa)
Lineage: Eukaryota; Viridiplantae; Streptophyta; Magnoliopsida; Caryophyllales; Amaranthaceae
Exons: 2
Source: RefSeq, a predicted model, not a curated record